GUAAAGGGCCAGAGAGUGAAUAUUUUAGACUUUGUGGGCCGUACGGUCUGUCACAACCAGUUAACUCUGCAUUGUAGCGUGUGAAAGCAGCCCUAGACAAAGUGUAAACAAAUGAGUGUGGCUGGGUUCCAAUGAAACGGUGUGAAUGGACACUGAAAUUUGUCAUUUCAUUUUGUCAUGUGUCACAAUAUUUUGUAAAAUUAUUUUUGAAGCGUUUAAAAAUGCAGAAACCAUUCAUUGCUCAUAGCCAUACAAAAAAAACCUCCCAGCUGUGCUUGGCUUGCUGACCGCUGUUCUAGGUGCUCCCCGUACCGCAGUGACAGGAAGAAGAGAAAACCAUGAAAAAUCCAGUCUCGCCUGAGCUUGCGUUCCCAUGGGUGAAAGUCUUUCUGCAACGAUCGUGUCCUCUGUCCGUCAUGGUGUCUCCAGCACGGGAACCUGAGGGGCCAUUUUGGAGAGCACACCUCAGGACCAAAAGCUGCUUUUUGUUGAGUUGCGUAGCAACUUGGUAUGUGCAUUUUCAGAGCACCAGAGGACACACUUUUCUGUGAAAGCUCAGUAAGCAGUAAGACAUUUCAGACGUUUUGCUGUUGGAUUAGAACGUGAAGAUCUCUACAAUGCUUACCCCUUGAACAGAGAUGCCUGAGAGGAUUGUGGUUGAGAUUAUUUUCACUGAAUACUCUAAAAGUGGGAAGGACUUCAAAUAGACAAAAGAAAACUCUGACCCUGUCAGGUUGCUGGAACACUGAGAGGUACCUCCAUCAGAGAUGGGUGACAUCUCCAUCCUGGGAGAUCAGCAGAGGUCAUCAGACAACCGUUGGUCCUAAAUGCUUCACUUAGCUGCCAGAAGGCAGGGGCCUAGAAGGAAUCAUCCCUUCAGAUCCCUUUCAGAUCUGAGAAUCUGAUCCUGACUGACUGAUUCAGAGGGAGAAGAAAACAGAUGGAAUAUUUGCCUGCCUACUGUAAGGACAAACACAAAUUAAAAUAAGAGGCUUAACUCUUCCUGUUGAAAAUAAGGCAAAAGACUUUUUUCUCUCCCAUUUCUUUCAGCAUUUCUUUCAAAUCUUCAUAAUGGUAAAUAAGCCUCUUGCCAGUCUCACGACUCAGAAAUGCAAGAAUUAAAGGUGACCUCUUUCACGGAAACGCCCACCUUUCUCUACUGUGCCACUCCCUCUGCUCCUCCUGCCUCACUUUACCCUCCCUGCCUCAGACUGACUCCUGGGAAGGGGUAAACGAUGAUCUUUUACAUGGUGGUUCCUUUCCUUGCUGGGUUUCCCUGAGAAGGACAUAACUUUUUUAGCUGAUAAUGUGUUGCCUGCCCUGUUUGAAGAUGUAGAAUUGUGUGCCUGCUGGCCCAGCCCCGAGUCCACUUCAGGUCCUAGACCAGAUUCCACCUCCAAGAGUCCCCUUCCAUGCACACACCACUUCGCUGGAAAGGCAGAAACGGUAAAGAUAAAUGAUCAAGAUCACGGGAUGAUGAGACUGUGUCCCCAUACGAAGGCAACAGGAUGGAGAGUAGUUGCACUAGUUACUUGGGAAAAGAUAUACAAGAAAGGAAUUAGGCUGAUAAAUAUCAAUAUGGGAAAAGAAACCAAGGUGCCAUGUAAUCCUACCCUUUUCCCAUCUCCAUGUGAGGAAAACCAGCCCUUCCUACUCAAUCUCCAGCAAAGUUGAUGCUGCUGAGAAGCUAUCCAGGCCUCUCAGGCACAAAGGAAAUAUUAAGAGUUCAUGUGUUCUCCUCUCCUGCUGAUAACAUUAAUCUAAAGGCUUUUUCCCAGUGCCCUGGGAAGAUCCACAGAAGUUUGCAAAAAUGCUCUGCGGCGUGUUUUCAGUUUACAGCCACACGUGGGGAUGUUGUGCUAGAUGCUGCAGGGAAUUCUGCAGCCAGCAGAUUUCGCUUAUUUGAUGGAGCAUGCUCAUCGUGGACCCGGAGAUGGGGUGCUGCGGCCAAGAGAAGUCGACUCUUCAGCACUCCAUCCAACCAUGGAAGGAUUAGGUGCAUUAGAGACCCCCAAGAGGGGUUGCUAAGGACAGGACUUGAAGCCUCUCUGAUAAAUGUGCCCUGGGAGAAGUUGCAGCAGUGCAUGCAGAAGAUAGAAACCCUGAGACUUAAAGUCGUAAAGAUCUGGAAGGACCUGCCAGAGGAAGUCGGACACCCCAUCAACCGGGAGACUUCAUCUACCUAAAGGUGUUCCAGAAGAGAGACAGCUGUCACCGAGUCGGGAGGGACCCUUUCUGCUGUAAGCCUCUCAAAGUGAAAGAGCUCAGCUGGAGUCUUGCUUCCCGUGUGAAGCCGGCAUUACAGGAGGACUGGGUGGGCUUCCGCAAAGGGCCUAAAACUUAACUUUUCCAGAGUAACCAACUGGUGUUGACCUCAACUGAAAAGAAGUAUUCUAGAAAAUGUGUUACAAUUCUCAAAGGCUGCCUGGUUGUCCUGCUCGCAGCCAUGGUUAUUCCAUUUAAUUCGAAAAUCACGUUUAGUAGAAAACAAUGUUUUUUGUGACACUGCUCUUUCUUUCUGCACUCCCAGUGAUGGUUCCCACAACCACGUAGUUCUCAUCAGCUCUAAACCGGGCUCUCAGUAUGGACGUGCUCUGGACUUAAGUCCACUAGUUUGAUUAUUAGCAGAGGACACGUGGGACCAUCUUCACCAGUGAUCUUUGAUAAUAAAGUAAAAGUAAUUAAUAUGCACCAGGUGCUCAAGCUCUAAAUUUGGCACAAAAAAUGUUAACUGAUUGGAAAGAUGAUGUAGAAAAGAAAAACAUCUAAUUAAUAGACAGACAAAUAGAAACUGCAAAAGGCUGGUCUAAUGUCACUAGGUUAACAUUGGGGUUCAGGUUCUUUCUGGUCCCAGUAUGGAUGGAUAAACAAAGAUGAAUGCCUGUUAUGGAGAGAUUAUUCCCCCAAAGCAAAUACUAUACUGAAUUUUUAAGUUCAUAUUACAUUAAAUUGUCAUUCUGGAAACUGCUUUAUUUACAUUUACUCUAGACAUGCUGGACAUUUAGGUGCCUGCAAGUUGCCCAGAGAAAGGUUGAAACCACAAUGGAAAUAAUUAGAAGAUUGUGUUGUCAUUAUUUUAUAGAACACAGGGAGGAAACUGUAAGGACAGAUACAAAUUAAAAAUAAAGCUUAACUCUCCAUGUUGAAAAUGAGAGAAAAGACACACCCC
This 3169-nucleotide long non-coding RNA is filed under the name Equus asinus (donkey). RNAcentral's name for it is "lncRNA (ENSEASG00005036831.1)". Lineage: Eukaryota; Metazoa; Chordata; Mammalia; Perissodactyla; Equidae. The record is from RNAcentral.